CCUACGGGUGGCAGCAGUGGGGAAUAUUGCACAAUGGGCGAAAGCCUGAUGCAGCAACGCCGCGUGAGCGAUGAAGUCUUUCGGUUUGUAAAGCUCUAUCCUCAAGGAAGAUAAUGACGGUACCUGACUAAGAAGCCCCGGCUAACUACGUGCCAGCAGCCGCGGUAAUACGUAGGGGGCUAGCGUUAUCCGGAAUUACUGGGUGUAAAGGGUGCGUGGAGGGAUUAGUAAGUCAGAGGUGAAAUGCUAGGGCUCAACCGUAGUAAGCCUUUGAAACUGGGAAACUUGAGUGUAGGAGAGGCGGGUGGAAUUCCUAGUGUAGCGGUGAAAUGCGUAGAUAUUAGGAGGAACACCAGUGGCGAAGGCGGCUCUCUGGACUGUAACUGACACUGAGGCACGAAAGCGUGGGGAGCAAACAGGAUUAGAUACCCCUGUAGUC
RNAcentral lists this ribosomal RNA (439 nucleotides) under uncultured bacterium. Its description in RNAcentral is "partial 16S ribosomal RNA". It matches the Rfam family "Bacterial small subunit ribosomal RNA", at positions 338 to 795 of the family's 1533-position model. The record is from RNAcentral.